This 465-nucleotide ribosomal RNA is filed under the name Vreelandella stevensii. Its description in RNAcentral is "partial 16S ribosomal RNA". It matches the Rfam family "Bacterial small subunit ribosomal RNA", at positions 338 to 795 of the family's 1533-position model. Lineage: Bacteria; Pseudomonadati; Pseudomonadota; Gammaproteobacteria; Oceanospirillales; Halomonadaceae. The record is from RNAcentral.
CCUACGGGUGGCAGCAGUGGGGAAUAUUGGACAAUGGGGGGAACCCUGAUCCAGCCAUGCCGCGUGUGUGAUGAAGGCCCUCGGGUUGUAAAGCACUUUCAGUGAGGAAGAACGCCUGGUGGUUAAUACCCAUCAGGAAAGACAUCACUCACAGAAGAAGCACCGGCUAACUCCGUGCCAGCAGCCGCGGUAAUACGGAGGGUGCGAGCGUUAAUCGGAAUUACUGGGCGUAAAGCGCGCGUAGGUGGCUUGAUAAGCCGGUUGUGAAAGCCCCGGGCUCAACCUGGGAACGGCAUCCGGAACUGUCAAGCUAGAGUGCAGGAGAGGAAGGUAGAAUUCCCGGUGUAGCGGUGAAAUGCGUAGAGAUCGGGAGGAAUACCAGUGGCGAAGGCGGCCUUCUGGACUGACACUGACACUGAGGUGCGAAAGCGUGGGUAGCAAACAGGAUUAGAUACCCGAGUAGUC